This 1022-nucleotide long non-coding RNA is filed under the name Phasianus colchicus (ring-necked pheasant). RNAcentral's name for it is "lncRNA (ENSPCLG00000017811.1)". Lineage: Eukaryota; Metazoa; Chordata; Aves; Galliformes; Phasianidae. The record is from RNAcentral.
UUCGGGAUGGUGACACUGGGGGUGGUGACACAGUCGGGGUGGUGACACAUUGGGGGGGUGACACUGGGGGUGGUGACACAUUGGGGGGGUCUCCAGCAGAGGACGCAGCUGUGGUGGCACGAUGGCUUUAAUAGGACGGGGGAGGAGGGGGGGAGGGGACACCCCAUGGCAUCGUGUGUCCCCAAGGGCCACAGCAGUGUCCCCAAGACCUUAAGGACCCCAUAGAAGUGUCCCUAAAGUCCACGGCGGUGUCCCCAAGGGCCACGGUGGCAUCCUGUCCCCAUCAGGGCUGACCCCAAGACCCCAUAGAGGUGUCCCCAAGGGUCACGGCGAUGUCCCCAAGGCCCUGAGGACCCCACACAGAUGUCCCCAAGGCCCCAUAGAGAUGUCCCCGAGGGCCACAGUGUGACCCCAAGACCCCAUAGAAGUGUCCCUAAAGUCCAUGGUGGUGUCCCCAAGGCCCCAAGGACCCCAUAGGCCACAGUGUGACCCCAAGACCCUGAGGACCCCAAGGGGGGGGGAGGGGGGGCGAACCCUAUAGGGACAUGGGGACCCUAUAGGGACAUUGGGGGGGAUGGACCCUAAAGUCCCCAGCGGUGUCCCCAAGGCCCCAAGGACCCCAUAGAGGUGUCCCCAAGGUCAUGGCGGUGUCCCCAAGGACCCCACAGAAGUGUCCCCAAGGGCCACAGCAGUGUCCCCAAGACCCCAUACAGAUGUCCCCAAGACCCCGAGGACCCCAUAGAAGUGUCCCUAAAGUCCAUGGCAGUGUCCCCAAGGACCCCAUAGAGGUGUCCCCAAGGACCCCACAGAAGUGUCCCCAAGGUCCAUGGCAAUGUGUCCCCCACACCCUGUCCCUAUUUCUUGAAGCGAUCCAGCGCAGUCCGCGUCCCCAUUGUCCCCUUUGUCCCCUUUGUCCCCGUUGUCCCCUUUGUCCCCGCUGCGAUGUCCCUCCUGUGCUGCUCCCGCUGCUCCACGCUGCGCUGGAUGGCGGCCUGGGGGGGGCGAGGGGGACAUUGAGGGAC